GACGAACCGUGCGAACGUUAUUCGGAAUCACUGGGCUUAAAGGGCGCGUAGGCGGGCAACCAAGUCCGGGGUGAAAUCCUCCAGCUCAACUGGAGAAGUGCCUCGGAUACUGGCUGCCUCGAGGAGGGUAGGGGCAUCUGGAACUAGCGGUGGAGCGGUGAAAUGCGUUGAUAUCGCUAGGAACUCCGGUGGCGAAGGCGGCGUGCUGGAUCCCUACUGACGCUGAGGCACGAAAGCCAGGGGAGCAAACGGG
RNAcentral lists this ribosomal RNA (253 nucleotides) under uncultured bacterium. Its description in RNAcentral is "partial 16S ribosomal RNA". It matches the Rfam family "Bacterial small subunit ribosomal RNA", at positions 524 to 776 of the family's 1533-position model. The record is from RNAcentral.